GGUCGAUUAGCCAUGCUAGUUGCACGAGUUUAGACUCGUGGCGAAAAGCUCAGUAACACGUGGUCAAACUACCCUACGAAGACCCAUAACCUCGGGAAACUGAGGCUAAUAGGUCAUAGGUGAGUUACGCUGGAAUGCCAACUCUCCCAAACGCUCAGGCGUCGUAGGAUGUGGCUGCGGCCGAUUAGGUAGACGGUGGGGUAACGGCCCACCGUGCCGAUAAUCGGUACGGGUUGUGAGAGCAAGAGCCCGGAGACGGAAUCUGAGACAAGAUUCCGGGCCCUACGGGGCGCAGCAGGCGCGAAACCUUUACACUGCACGCAAGUGCGAUAAGGGGACCCCAAGUGCGAGGGCAUAUAGUCCUCGCUUUUUCCGACCGUAAGGUGGUCGGCGAAUAAGGGCUGGGCAAGACCGGUGCCAGCCGCCGCGGUAAUACCGGCAGCCCAAGUGAUGACCGAUAUUAUUGGGCCUAAAGCGUCCGUAGCCGGCCAUGAAGGUUCAUCGGGAAAUCCGCCAGCUCAACUGGCGGGCGUCCGGUGAAAACCACGUGGCUUGGGACCGGAAGGCUCGAGGGGUACGUCCGGGGUAGGAGUGAAAUCCCGUAAUCCUGGACGGACCACCGAUGGCGAAAGCACCUCGAGAAGACGGAUCCGACGGUGAGGGACGAAAGCUAGGGUCUCGAACCGGAUUAGAUACCCGGGUAGUCCUAGCUGUAAACGAUGCUCGCUAGGUGUGGCACAGGCUACGAGCCUGUGCUGUGCCGUAGGGAAGCCGAGAAGCGAGCCGCCUGGGAAGUACGUCCGCAAGGAUGAAACUUAAAGGAAUGGCGGGGAGCACUACA
This 841-nucleotide ribosomal RNA is filed under the name Haloferax sp. SA3. RNAcentral describes it as "bacterial SSU rRNA". It matches the Rfam family "Archaeal small subunit ribosomal RNA", at positions 38 to 883 of the family's 1478-position model. The record is from RNAcentral. Lineage: Archaea; Methanobacteriati; Methanobacteriota; Halobacteria; Halobacteriales; Haloferacaceae.